RNAcentral lists this transfer RNA (74 nucleotides) under Marmota monax (woodchuck). Its description in RNAcentral is "tRNA.Ala". It matches the Rfam family "tRNA". Rfam says of the family: Transfer RNA (tRNA) molecules are approximately 80 nucleotides in length. The record is from RNAcentral. Lineage: Eukaryota; Metazoa; Chordata; Mammalia; Rodentia; Sciuridae.
CUGGGGAUAUAGCUCAGUUGGUAGAGUGUCUGCCUUGCAUGCACAAGGCCCUGGGUUCAAUCCCCAGCACCAGA